ACUGCUCAGUAACACGUGGCUAACCUGCCCUUAGGACAAGUAUAACCCCGGGAAACUGGGGAUAAUCCUUGAUAGGUGAGGAAUUCUGGAAUGAGUCUUUGCCUAAAGGAUGUGCAGAUCACGCUUCUGCGCGUUGCCUAAGGAUGGGGCCGCGGCCGAUCAGGUUGUUGGUGAGGUAACGGCUCACCAAGCCUAUAACCGGUACGGGCCGUGAAAGCGGAAGCCCGGAGAUGGGCACUGAGACAAGGGCCCAGGCCCUACGGGGCGCAGCAGUCGCGAAAACUCCGCAAUACGCGAAAGCGUGACGGGGCUAUCCCGAGUGCUAUUCGAUGAGAGUAGCUUUUCCUCAGUGUAAAGUGCUGGGGGAAUAAGGAGGGGGCAAGACUGGUGUCAGCCGCCGCGGUAAUACCAGCUCUCCGAGUGAUAGGGACGUUUAUUGGGCCUAAAGCAUCCGUAGCUUGCUGAGUCUGUCCUCCGUUAAAUCCAACGACUUAAUCGUUGGGCUGCGGGGGAUACUGCUUAGCUAGGAGGCGGGAGAGGCCGACGGUAUUUCCGGGGUAGGGGUGAAAUCCUAUAAUCCCGGGACGACCACCAGUGGCGAAGGCUGUCGGCUGGAACGCGCUCGACGGUGAGGGAUGAAAGCUGGGGGAGCAAACCGGAUUAGAUACCCGGGUAGUCCCAGCUGUAAACGAUGCAUGCUAGGUGUUGGUGUGGCUACGAGCCGCUCCAGUGCCGCAGGGAAGCCGUUAAGCCUGCCGCCUGGGAAGUACGGCCGCAAGGCUGAAACUUAAAGGAAUUGGCGGGGGAGCAC
Molecule: ribosomal RNA, 811 nt
Filed under: uncultured archaeon
Lineage: Archaea
Description: bacterial SSU rRNA
Rfam family: Archaeal small subunit ribosomal RNA
Source: RNAcentral